CACACACACACACAUAUAUACAGUAAUACUGUUUUAUUUACGGUCCAUAGACCAUCAGUGUAUAUAUAUCGCUUCUCGGUCUUUUGGCUAAGAUCAAGUGUAGUAUAUAUACUAUAUAUAUAUAUAUUCGAAGUGGUAGAUGUGCAUGAAGCCCAUAGGAGUAGAUCAACAACAAAUCGGAUAGGAUAGGAAAGGAUAUUCCGAAUGUCACCUCUCCACCCACCCCACCUACAUCACUAGGCCAGCAGGAAAUAGGGGGAGUUUGAGGCUGUCGAGCUCCCUUGCCUCUUUGCAGACGACAGUGUGCAACCUCUGUGCUUCUUUUUUGCAGAGAAGGAAGCUACCUGUGGCAACGUUCCACCCCUCUGCCCUGCACACACCGUUUCACCAUGAAGCCCAUCCUGUUUGUUGCUGCCGUUCUGCUCAUCAAUCUAGCUCUGGCUGUUGAUAAUAAUAAGGUAGCCAAUCCUCCAGCUGACAAAAAUCAAACUACUCCUAUCACACCUACCCCUCAGAGUACUGCAAGCAAUCGCCAAGUCAUGUGCAGUGACGGCCCAGCUUCCUUUCUCAUACCACUUGUACUGGUGAUGGCGUGUCUCGCUCCAGUAUACUGAGCCUGGAGGGCAUGAUCUUGAAAGCCUCUGAGCCCCAAUGAAGCUUCAAGAAAUGAGUCUUUUCUAAUCCAGCCAGCAUAUUCAUUUAUUCAUUCAUUUAGUCAGCCCAUAAUGCUGCACCGUCUGCCAUUCUCUACAACUCAUGAUUUCGUGGCACUUGCAAAAUUAAAGAGGAAAGCAAAGGGAGAGCUGUUGCGGUACAUCCCAGAUGCAUGCAUUCCUAUAGAGCUGAUUGAUGUUCAGAAAGAAGAUGAUUCCCAGACAGAAUUCCACUUCAAAAAGACAUUUUGAAACCGAUAGAUAAUCCUUCUGAUGUCUCCCCCUGUGCCAUCAUUGACAAGUCACCAUAUCCAUCAGGAACUUUCUCUCGGGCAGACUGCCUAGGAAUGGACCGGUGCUGUGCAUUAACACCGCAACCCUAUUUUGUAUAUUUCCCGUUUGUUUCCGCGGAGACAACUGUCUCAGUCCCAUUGACUGAGAGCUGCCUCUCCAUCUACUCCUUCCAACCUGUUAAAUGAAGGGACUUUCUUGGCUUGUCCCAUGAGAUGAUCAUCUGCCGCAGUUUUUGGAAACCUGCCCUCAAGAUGACAUUGGAGGAAGCAUUCUCCAAUAUUUGGGAAAGUGUGUAGACAACACUCUUGGCUCACAUCAAGGCAAAGUGGAGUUUGCAAAUGUUUUCGUCGGCGUCUCUUGCAACCUUCCCGCACAAAGUUUGAAUCUGUUUAAUAAAUACAUGCUUCUUGGCUGGCUAA
Long non-coding RNA from Anolis carolinensis (green anole), 1366 nucleotides. RefSeq lists it as uncharacterized. The record is from RefSeq and is a predicted model, not a curated record. NCBI's taxonomy places the organism in Eukaryota, Metazoa, Chordata, Lepidosauria, Squamata, Anolidae. The transcript is spliced from 2 exons.